AACGAACGCUGGCGGCAGGCUUAACACAUGCAAGUCGAACGAGAGGAAGGAAAGCUUGCUUUUCUGAAUCUAGUGGCGAACGGGUGAGUAACACGUAGGUAACCUGCCCAUGUGCCCGGGAUAACUUCUGGAAACGGAUGCUAAAACCAGAUAGGUAGCAGACAAGCAUUUGACUGCUAUUAAAGUGGCUAAGGCCAUGAACAUGGAUGGACCUGCGGUGCAUUAGCUAGUUGGUGAGGUAACGGCCCACCAAGGCGACGAUGCAUAGCCGGCCUGAGAGGGCGGACGGCCACAUUGGGACUGAGACACGGCCCAAACUCCUACGGGAGGCAGCAGUAGGGAAUUUUCGUCAAUGGGGGGAACCCUGAACGAGCAAUGCCGCGUGAGUGAGGAAGGUCUUCGGAUCGUAAAGCUCUGUUGUAAGAGAAAAACGACAUUCAUAGGGAAUGAUGAGUGAGUGAUGGUAUCUUACCAGAAAGUCACGGCUAACUACGUGCCAGCAGCCGCAGUAA
RNAcentral lists this ribosomal RNA (512 nucleotides) under uncultured bacterium. Its description in RNAcentral is "partial 16S ribosomal RNA". It matches the Rfam family "Bacterial small subunit ribosomal RNA", at positions 29 to 523 of the family's 1533-position model. The record is from RNAcentral.